RNAcentral lists this unclassified non-coding RNA (336 nucleotides) under soil metagenome. RNAcentral's name for it is "partial contains 5.8S ribosomal RNA, internal transcribed spacer 2, and large subunit ribosomal RNA". The stretch from base 1 to 120 matches the Rfam family "5.8S ribosomal RNA", at positions 35 to 154 of the family's 154-position model. The record is from RNAcentral.
GAUGAAGAACGUAGCGAAAUGCGAUAAGUAGUGUGAAUUGCAGAAUUCAGUGAAUCAUCGAAUCUUUGAACGCACAUUGCGCCCCUUGGUAUUCCAUGGGGCAUGCCUGUUCGAGCGUCAUUUGUACCUUCAAGCUUUGCUUGGUGUUGGGUGUUUGUCUCGCCUUUGCGUGUAGACUCGCCUUAAAAUAAUUGGCAGCCGGCGUAUUGAUUUCGGAGCGCAGUACAUCUUGCGCUUUGCACUCAUAACGACAGCGUCCAAAAGUACAUUUUACACUCUUGACCUCGGAUCAGGUAGGGAUACCCGCUGAACUUAAGCAUAUCAAUAAGCGGAGGA